This 367-nucleotide ribosomal RNA is filed under the name uncultured bacterium. RNAcentral's name for it is "bacterial SSU rRNA". It matches the Rfam family "Bacterial small subunit ribosomal RNA", at positions 442 to 793 of the family's 1533-position model. The record is from RNAcentral.
GUGAGGAAGGUAGGGUAUGUUAAUAGCAUAUUCAUUUUGACGUUAGCUGCAGAAGAAGCACCGGCUAACUCCGUGCCAGCAGCCGCGGUAAUACGGAGGGUGCGAGCGUUAAUCGGAAUUACUAGGGCGUAAAGCGCAUGCAGGUGGUUUGUUAAGUCAGAUGUGAAAGCCCGGGGCUCAACCUCGGAAUUGCAUUUGAAACUGGCAAACUAGAGUACUGUAGGAGGGGGUAGAAUUUCAGGUGUAGCGGUGAAAUGCGUAGAGAUCUGAAGGAAUACCGGUGGCGAAGGCGGCCCCCCUGGACAGAUACUGACACUCAGAUGCGAAAGCGGUAGGGGAGACAAACAGGAUUAGACUACCCUGGUAG